GACCCUGUGGUGCAACGGUAGCGCGUCUGACUUCAGAUCAGAAGGCUACGUGUUCAAAUCACGUCUGGGGUCA
This is a non-coding RNA of Octopus bimaculoides (California two-spot octopus), 73 nucleotides long. Lineage: Eukaryota; Metazoa; Mollusca; Cephalopoda; Octopoda; Octopodidae. The record is from Rfam.